UGACACCCCCUCCCAACACACAGGGGGCUCCCCCCGCAGCAGCCACAGCAGCCGCUUCUGAAUCUCCAGGGCACCAACUCAGCCUCCCUCCUCAACGGCUCCAUGCUGCAGAGAGCUUUGCUUUUACAGCAGUUGCAAGGACUGGACCAGUUUGCAAUGCCACCAGCCACGUAUGACACUGCCGGUCUCACCAUGCCCACAGCAACACUGGGUAACCUCCGAGGCUAUGGCAUGGCAUCCCCAGGCCUCGCAGCCCCCAGCCUCACACCCCCACAACUGGCCACUCCAAAUUUGCAACAGUUCUUUCCCCAGGCCACUCGCCAGUCCUUGCUGGGACCUCCUCCUGUUGGGGUCCCCAUGAACCCUUCCCAGUUCAACCUUUCAGGACGGAACCCCCAGAAACAGGCCCGGACCUCCUCCUCUACCACCCCCAAUCGAAAGGAUUCUUCUUCUCAGA
This 457-nucleotide long non-coding RNA is filed under the name Homo sapiens (human). RNAcentral's name for it is "non-protein coding lnc-PTGES2-4:2". The record is from RNAcentral. Lineage: Eukaryota; Metazoa; Chordata; Mammalia; Primates; Hominidae.